GACGAACGCUGGCGGCGUGGAUUAGGCAUGCAAGUCGAACGGUAUCAUCCUUUCGGGGGUGAGAGAGUGGCGAACUGGUGAGUAACACGUAGGUUAUCUACCCUCAAGACGGGGACAACCCAGGGAAACUUGGGCUAAUACCGGAUGUGAGCAACUUUUAGUUGUUUGAAAGGUGGCGUAAGCUGUCGCUUGGGGAUGAGCCUGCGUCCUAUUAGUUAGUUGGUGAGGUAACGGCUCACCUAGGCAAUGAUAGGUAGGCGGCCUUAACGGGUGGUCGCCCACACUGGGAUUGAGAUACGGCCCAGACUCCUACGGGAGCAGCAGUCGAGAAUAGUCUACAAUGGUCGGAAGACUGAUAGUGCGACGCCGCGUGAACGAUGAAUCCCUUCGGGUGUAAAGUUCUUUUAUAUGUGAGCAGUGCUUCUUAUAUUAACAGUAUGGGGAGAGAGAUAUUAGCAUAUGAAUAAGCAACGGCUAACUCCGUGCCAGCAGCCGCGGUAAU
This 502-nucleotide ribosomal RNA is filed under the name uncultured bacterium. Its description in RNAcentral is "bacterial SSU rRNA". It matches the Rfam family "Bacterial small subunit ribosomal RNA", at positions 28 to 524 of the family's 1533-position model. The record is from RNAcentral.